Molecule: ribosomal RNA, 502 nt
Filed under: uncultured bacterium
Lineage: Bacteria
Description: partial 16S ribosomal RNA
Rfam family: Bacterial small subunit ribosomal RNA
Source: RNAcentral
GACGAACGCUGGCGGCGUGCUUAACACAUGCAAGUCGAACGGUGAAGGGGUCUGCUUUUGUGGGCCCUGGAUGAGUGGCGCACGGGUGAGUAACACGUGAGUAACCUGCCCCCUUCUUCUGGAUAACCGCAUGAAAGUGUGGCUAAUACGGGAUAUUCUGGGUCUGUCGCAUGAUGGGUCUGGGAAAGAUUGCGCCUUUGGGUGUUUUUGGUGGGGGAUGGGCUCGCGGCCCAUCAGCUUGUGGGUGGGGUGAUGGCCUACCAAGGCGGUGACGGGGAGCCGGGCUGAGAGGGUGGACGGUCACAAUGGGACUGCGGCCCGGCCCAGACUCCUACGGGAGGCAGCAGUGGGGAAUAUUGCACAAUGGGCGCAAGCCUGAUGCAGCGACGCCGCGUGAGGGAUGGAGGCCUUCGGGUUGUAAACCUCUUUCGCCAGUGAAGCAGGCCUGCUCCUUGUGGGUGGGUUGACGGUAGCUGGAUAAGAAGCGCCGGCUAACUACGUG